GAUGAAGAACGCAGCGAAAUGCGAUACGUAAUGUGAAUUGCAGAAUUCAGUGAAUCAUCGAGUCUUUGAACGCACAUUGCGCCCCCUGGUAUUCCGGGGGGCAUGCCUGUCCGAGCGUCAUUGCUGCCCUCAAGCACGGCUUGUGUGUUGGGCCUCCGUCCUCUUCCCGGGGGACGGGCCCGAAAGGCAGCGGCGGCACCGCGUCCGGUCCUCGAGCGUAUGGGGCUUCGUCACCCGCUCUUGUAGGCCCGGCCGGCGCUUGCCGACACAUCAAUCUUUUUUCCAGGUUGACCUCGGAUCAGGUAGGGAUACCCGCUGAACUUAAGCAUAUCAAUAAGCGGAGGA
This 345-nucleotide unclassified non-coding RNA is filed under the name soil metagenome. Its description in RNAcentral is "partial contains 5.8S ribosomal RNA, internal transcribed spacer 2, and large subunit ribosomal RNA". The stretch from base 1 to 120 matches the Rfam family "5.8S ribosomal RNA", at positions 35 to 154 of the family's 154-position model. The record is from RNAcentral.